AUUGAACGCUGGCGGCAGGCCUAACACAUGCAAGUCGAGCGGAUGAAGGGAGCUUGCUCCUGGAUUCAGCGGCGGACGGGUGAGUAAUGCCUAGGAAUCUGCCUGGUAGUGGGGGAUAACGUCCGGAAACGGGCGCUAAUACCGCAUACGUCCUGAGGGAGAAAGUGGGGGAUCUUCGGACCUCACGCUAUCAGAUGAGCCUAGGUCGGAUUAGCUAGUUGGUGGGGUAAAGGCCUACCAAGGCGACGAUCCGUAACUGGUCUGAGAGGAUGAUCAGUCACACUGGAACUGAGACACGGUCCAGACUCCUACGGGAGGCAGCAGUGGGGAAUAUUGGACAAAGGGCGAAAGCCUGAUCAAGCCAUGCCGCGUGUGUGAAGAAGGUCUUCGGAUUGUAAAGCACUUUAAGUUGGGAGGAAGGGCAGUAAGUUAAUACCUUGCUGUUUUGACGUUACCAACAGAAUAAGCACCGGCUAACUUCGUG
RNAcentral lists this ribosomal RNA (484 nucleotides) under uncultured bacterium. RNAcentral describes it as "partial 16S ribosomal RNA". It matches the Rfam family "Bacterial small subunit ribosomal RNA", at positions 30 to 507 of the family's 1533-position model. The record is from RNAcentral.